CAAACUGACUUUUGGCUGUUGAAUAUCACAGAGCUUUUAUAUGUGACUUCCUAGUUCUGCCAAAACGAUCACAGCCAGUUUGAGUCUCCUAACAGUUUUCUAAAAGCUGAGAUUUGGUUGGUACAACUUUGCUGGGGAAUGGCAUAUAUACGGUUGUGCUCACUUCUAUGAGGAAAGAGGUUACCACAUGUGGAGGAGACCGAUGUCACCUUACUUAACCUCAGCUGCAGCCAGAACUUUCUGAAUUUUCCUACAAUUCAGACUUUAGAAAACCCCAGUGUGAUUGUGGUAAUAUAGAAGAGACAGAAGUGGUGGGAAGGAAGGAGAAAACAAUGGCUAUGAUUUCCUGAUGUGUGUCUCUUGGCCCUGCGUGGAUCUUUUCUAGCCUUACUUCAGGUAAAUACCCCUUUGUUCCUUUCUUCCUACCUGCUCAGCUUUGCUGAAGCAGUUGCAGCCCUUUUUUUCUUCCCUAAGGGUGAACAGAGCGUCAGGAGUGAGCCGGCCCAGGUAACAAGAGCUGGAGAAGAGGCACUUAUGGUAAACUCACUGUUAAAAUGUAAACAAUAAACAACAGCGUGGUAAGAGGUGGAAGAAGCCUGGAUUUACCGAAAGCAGCCUUGCCACUAGAUAAUGCUUUUUAAUAUUACUGGCUGCUUCUUUGUCCUGCUCUGUCAUCAGCAUGCUUCUUGAAGAGCUGGCUCUCAAGUGGGGAAACAAGCAGAGCAAAACCCAUCCCGAACCCCCUGCACAAAUGUUUAUGCUGGGGAUUCAUCAUAGCUUUUUGGAACAUCUAAUGUUCAAAUUCUUCAAAAGGCAAGAAAAAACUGCUACAUUCAGCAGAAAACUCUCUAUAUACC
Molecule: long non-coding RNA, 857 nt
Organism: Lagopus leucura (white-tailed ptarmigan)
Lineage: Eukaryota; Metazoa; Chordata; Aves; Galliformes; Phasianidae
Exons: 3
Source: RefSeq, a predicted model, not a curated record